GACGAACGCUGGCGGCGUGCCUAAUACAUGCAAGUAGAACGCUGAAGAGAGGAGCUUGCUCUUCUUGGAUGAGUUGCGAACGGGUGAGUAACGCGUAGGUAACCUGCCUUGUAGCGGGGGAUAACUAUUGGAAACGAUAGCUAAUACCGCAUAACAAUGGAUGACACAUGUCAUUUAUUUGAAAGGGGCAAUUGCUCCACUACAAGAUGGACCUGCGUUGUAUUAGCUAGUAGGUGAGGUAACGGCUCACCUAGGCGACGAUACAUAGCCGACCUGAGAGGGUGAUCGGCCACACUGGGACUGAGACACGGCCCAGACUCCUACGGGAGGCAGCAGUAGGGAAUCUUCGGCAAUGGGGGCAACCCUGACCGAGCAACGCCGCGUGAGUGAAGAAGGUUUUCGGACCGUAAAGCUCUGUUGUAAGUCAAGAACGAGUGUGAGAGUGGAAAGUUCACACUGUGACGGUAGCUUACCAGAAAGGGACGGCUAACUACGUGCCAGCAGCCGCGGUAAUACGUAGGUCCCGAGCGUUGUCCGGAUUUAUUGGGCGUAAAGCGAGCGCAGGCGGUUUGAUAAGUCUGAAGUUAAAGGCUGUGGCUCAACCAUAGUUCGCUUUGGAAACUGUCAAACUUGAGUGCAGAAGGGGAGAGUGGAAUUCCAUGUGUAGCGGUGAAAUGCGUAGAUAUAUGGAGGAACACCGGUGGCGAAAGCCGCUCUCUGGUCUGUAACUGACGCUGAGGCUCGAAAGCGUGGGGAGCGAACAGGAUUAGAUACCCUGGUAGUCCACGCCGUAAACGAUGAGUGCUAGGUGUUGGAUCCUUUCCGGGAUUCAGUGCCGCAGCUAACGCAUUAAGCACUCCGCCUGGGGAGUACGACCGCAAGGUUGAAACUCAAAGGAAUUGACGGGGGCCCGCACAAGCGGUGGAGCAUGUGGUUUAAUUCGAAGCAACGCGAAGAACCUUACCAGGUCUUGACAUCCCGAUGCUAUUUCUAGAGAUAGAAAGUUACUUCGGUACAUCGGUGACAGGUGGUGCAUGGUUGUCGUCAGCUCGUGUCGUGAGAUGUUGGGUUAAGUCCCGCAACGAGCGCAACCCCUAUUGUUAGUUGCCAUCAUUCAGUUGGGCACUCUAGCGAGACUGCCGGUAAUAAACCGGAGGAAGGUGGGGAUGACGUCAAAUCAUCAUGCCCCUUAUGACCUGGGCUACACACGUGCUACAAUGGUUGGUACAACGAGUUGCGAGUCGGUGACGGCAAGCUAAUCUCUUAAAGCCAAUCUCAGUUCGGAUUGUAGGCUGCAACUCGCCUACAUGAAGUCGGAAUCGCUAGUAAUCGCGGAUCAGCACGCCGCGGUGAAUACGUUCCCGGGCCU
Molecule: ribosomal RNA, 1369 nt
Filed under: uncultured bacterium
Lineage: Bacteria
Description: bacterial SSU rRNA
Rfam family: Bacterial small subunit ribosomal RNA
Source: RNAcentral